This 44-nucleotide non-coding RNA is filed under the name Trypanosoma brucei brucei. Lineage: Eukaryota; Euglenozoa; Kinetoplastea; Trypanosomatida; Trypanosomatidae. The record is from RNAcentral.
AUAAACUAUACAGUCAAGAUACUGAUGAGAGAUCGUGAUUUAAU